GCCCUCCCUCCCCACCCCAGGCCAAGUGCUGGCUUGGCUGCUGCGAUCCUCGCUUCUGCCCCCUCAGCUGCAACUCCCGCCACAAGCCACCGAGCCCAGCUGGGGUCAGGUGACCAUCUGCAGGCCCCAGUCAGAAUAUUAAUAUGGCAUGGAUUUCCAUUUUUAAUGAAUCCCUCAAGAAAUCAGAAGCACCUAUUUACUGCAUGGCCUCUUCAAAAGAAGCACAGGAAGCAGGGAAACCAGAACCCUGCCCACCUGAGUUCCUGAAGUGCCUACCUUCAAUAUGGCAGCUGCCUGCACUACGGCCUAUCCAGAAGCCUGCAUCAGAAAGCAACUCCCUAGCCCAAAACAACUGGCAGGCCAAAAGAC
Passer domesticus (house sparrow) is the source of this 369-nucleotide long non-coding RNA. RefSeq lists it as uncharacterized. The transcript is spliced from 3 exons. The record is from RefSeq and is a predicted model, not a curated record. Lineage: Eukaryota; Metazoa; Chordata; Aves; Passeriformes; Passeridae.